RNAcentral lists this long non-coding RNA (1272 nucleotides) under Nicotiana benthamiana. RNAcentral describes it as "long non-coding RNA (NBEN_LNC009712)". The record is from RNAcentral. Lineage: Eukaryota; Viridiplantae; Streptophyta; Magnoliopsida; Solanales; Solanaceae.
ACCAUACUGUCAUGCCUUGAAUAAACAAUUAAGGGUAAGUACGUAGAGGUUCAAUUAAGGGAACAACUAAUGAAGAAUUCUCUAAAUACUCAGUUAACCCAAAUAAGGUAAGAUAACAAAAUAAAGUUGCAGAUAUGGAAAUAAUCGAAAAUCAGUACAUGGUAAAUCAGGAAAUCAAGGAUUUCGAAAUCAUUGAUUUAAGGAGAGUAACAUGGGUUCCCAUGAAUAAACCAAGUUGAAAAAGGAGAAUAAAAAAUUUAAUAGAAAAUUUUCAAAUCAAUCCAAGAACAAGGAGCUCAGAGUCAAUCAAAGAGAAAAUCAUGUGUCCUGUUUUAGCAUAUAAAUAAAGUGCAUGGAACAUUAGGCAUGUGAGCCUAAACUAUAGCAAAGAGAAGCAUCAUGCAAUAACAAUCAUAAAGUCAAUAGACAGUGAAAUAUGGUAGUCACAUAGGUCAACUUCAUUAACUUAGUAAUAGAGAAAAGAGGGUAUCAGAAGCAUGCAAAGGGUCAAGUAAAAAGGCCCUUCUGAAAAGUAUAUAUUUUAGUUUCAAUGAUUGCAAGAAACCAAAUCACAUAGAGAAAUAGAAGUUUAAACAAAAAGGACCUCGAGUCCAGUCGAGCAACUUCAAAUAGAUGAAUCAGUUUUUAGAAGCUCGAAUAGGCCCCAAAGGAAUUAGGGUUUUGAAACCAAUCAAAUUCAAAGAUGAUGAACAAGUAAAUCACACAGCAAAUAACCUCAAAACUUUAACGAACCCAAAAUUUUAGGGUUUUCAACACCAAUCGAGUCUAGAGAUGAAAAAUAAAUACAUCAGACAAAUGCUAAAGAAUAGAUUCAGAAAAUCUCAAAAGAAAUUAAGGCCCUUAACAUGAAAACUCAAGUAUAAGAACUACAUAAGAAAACACAGCAGAACAUGUCAAAUAACUUAACAGAAUUCCUAAUCGGAAAAGAUAAGGGUCUUGAAGGUAGAGUGUUAGAAGCAUCUUUGAGAAAAAACGUUUAGAAGUUUAGAGCAAAUGCAGAUCUAUAAGAAAUUGGAAGAACCUUAAAGGUUAGGGUUUCAGAAGAAUCCCAAAUUGUGAGAAAGGCUUGGAAAACCAUCGAUCUAAGCAGGAGAGUCAAGAGUCAGGCUCAAAAAGCCAUGACUGGCUGGAGAGAGGUCAGAGAUGACCGGAGAACAACCUUAAACUAAAAUUGACCAAGGUUUGGACCAAGCUUUCCAGGGAUCUAGCCUAGGGUUUGAGAGAGUAUUAAGAGACGAUUGAGAGAGGAAG